RNAcentral lists this ribosomal RNA (406 nucleotides) under uncultured bacterium. Its description in RNAcentral is "partial 16S ribosomal RNA". It matches the Rfam family "Bacterial small subunit ribosomal RNA", at positions 30 to 526 of the family's 1533-position model. The record is from RNAcentral.
AUUGAACGCUGGCGGCAGGCCUAACACAUGCAAGUCGAACGAGUGGCGGACGGGUGAGUAAUGUCUGGGAAACUGCCUGAUGGCGGGGGAUAACUACUGGAAACGGUAGCUAAUACCGCAUACCAUCGGAUGUGCCCAGAUGGGAUUAGCUAGUAGGAGGGGUAAAGGCUCACCUAGGCGACGAUCCCUAGCUGGUCUGAGAGGAUGACCAGCCACCCUGGAACUGUGACACGGUCCAGACUCCCACGGGAGGCAGCAGUUGGAAAUAGUGCACAAUGGGCGCAAGCCUGAUGCAGCCAUGCCGCGUGUAUGAAGAAGGCCUGCGGGUUGUAAAGUACUUUCAGCGGGGAGGCGUUACCCGCAGAAGAAGCACCGGCUAACUUCGUGCCAGCAGCCGCGGUAAUAC